RNAcentral lists this ribosomal RNA (583 nucleotides) under uncultured bacterium. RNAcentral's name for it is "bacterial SSU rRNA". It matches the Rfam family "Bacterial small subunit ribosomal RNA", at positions 202 to 805 of the family's 1533-position model. The record is from RNAcentral.
AAAAGCGUAAACGGUAUACGAUGGACCCGCGUCUGAUUAGCUAGUUGGCGGGGUAGAGGCCCACCAAGGCGACGAUCAGUAGCCGGCCUGAGAGGGUGACCGGCCACAUUGGGACUGAGACACGGCCCAAACUCCUACGGGAGGCAGCAGUGGGGAAUAUUGCACAAUGGGGGGAACCCUGAUGCAGCGACGCCGCGUGAGUGAAGAAGUAUUUCGGUAUGUAAAGCUCUAUCAGCAGGGAAGAAAAUGACGGUACCUGACUAAGAAGCCCCGGCUAACUACGUGCCAGCAGCCGCGGUAAUACGUAGGGGGCAAGCGUUAUCCGGAUUUACUGGGUGUAAAGGGAGCGUAGACGGUUAUGCAAGUCUGAAGUGAAAGCCCAAGGCUCAACCAUGGGACUGCUUUGGAAACUGUAAAACUGGAGUGCAGGAGAGGUAAGCGGAAUUCCUAGUGUAGCGGUGAAAUGCGUAGAUAUUAGGAGGAACACCAGUGGCGAAGGCGGCUUACUGGACUGUAACUGACGUUGAGGCUCGAAGGCGUGGGGAGCAAACAGGAUUAGAUACCCUGGUAGUCCACGCGGUAA